CUUGGUCAUUUAGAGGAAGUAAAAGUCGUAACAAGGUUUCCGUAGGUGAACCUGCGGAAGGAUCAUUAAAGAGUAAGGGUGCUCAGCGCCCGACCUCCAACCCUUUGUUGUUAAAACUACCUUGUUGCUUUGGCGGGACCGCUCGGUUCCGAGCCGCUGGGGAUUCGUCCCAGGCGAGUGCCCGCCAGAGUUAAACCAAACUCUUGUUAUUAAACCGGUCGUCUGAGUUAAAAUUUUGAAUAAAUCAAAACUUUCAACAACGGAUCUCUUGGUUCUCGCAUCGAUGAAGAACGCAGCGAAAUGCGAUAAGUAAUGUGAAUUGCAGAAUUCAGUGAAUCAUCGAAUCUUUGAACGCACAUUGCGCCCCUUGGUAUUCCGAGGGGCAUGCCUGUUCGAGCGUCAUUACACCACUCAAGCUAUGCUUGGUAUUGGGCGUCGUCCUUAGUUGGGCGCGCCUUAAAGACCUCGGCGAGGCCUCACCGGCUUUAGGCGUAGUAGAAUUUAUUCGAACGUCUGUCAAUGGAGAGGACUUCUGCCGACUGAAACCUUUAUUUUUUACAGGUUGACCUCGGAUCAGGUAGGGAUACCCGCUGAACUUAAGCAUAUCAAUAAGCGGAGGA
Molecule: ribosomal RNA, 620 nt
Filed under: uncultured Ascomycota
Lineage: Eukaryota; Fungi; Ascomycota
Description: eukaryotic LSU rRNA
Rfam family: 5.8S ribosomal RNA (bases 249-402)
Source: RNAcentral